This is an RNA transcript of Ostrea edulis (European flat oyster), 953 nucleotides long. RefSeq lists it as uncharacterized. The record is from RefSeq and is a predicted model, not a curated record. The transcript has 3 exons. Lineage: Eukaryota; Metazoa; Mollusca; Bivalvia; Ostreida; Ostreidae.
UUGCAACUAUGAAGACACAUUCUGUUUCAAUCUAGUUAAAUCCGGAUCUUUAGCGUCGUCUGUCCGCUUGUGAAUAUAUGUAUUCCACGUACUCCGUGACUUAUUUCGCCGCAUUGUUAGUAUUGUUAAAAAUAUAGACCCCCUUUCUUCUUAAUUGGGCAUAAUAAAUAGCGCUAAACUACAUGUAUAUUAUACGAUGACUUGUUUUAGAUUAGAUUUUGUCCAUCUUGGACUAUUUCCCCUUACCAUCGUUCAAACACGGAAAUCGUUACCAAAUAUGGAGAUAAGUCAAAAUCAUGUGAUUUUCAGCUGUUAUGUUUCAUUAACUUAUUGAUAUUUUACGCACUUUAAGGUAUUUAUAAUUAGAUAGGUAUUUCUUAGCGGUUUUUCUAUUCUUACAAGUGACUACGCUUGGUGUUUUAGAGAUUAUUCGGGAAACAUGAAAUGACGAUUUGACACGUGUUUGACUCGUUCUUGUUGUAUGAAUUCUGGGAUUUGCCGGGUGUAUGCUCAUUGUAACAGAUUACACGGAGUUGUCACGGGGAUGGUCCUUUGAUUUAUGUUUGGCAGCAUCAGUUUAUAUUUUGAUUGAGAUUAUCGCUGUCGUCACUGGGGUCAUUGUUAAUGCAGUAAGGUCAUCAAACCAAAAAUCCGGUAAAAGUCCGAAACAGUCCGAGGAGACGGAUAACGGCGGGAAUGUGUUCACGGGAAAUGUUCAGACUGACAACCAUUACAAAAGAAACACUCGGGCCGCUGAUGAUUACAAAAGAAAUGCUCAGAGUGACACUGACUCCAAAGUAACAGCCUACUUAAAUCUGCUCAGGUGGCCAUCAUAGCAAGCACUGAGCUCUUCAAAAUACCCAAAUGGUGAAAUAAAAACUGGUACAUAUUUCUUGAAUAGUUGAGUGCAUUGACUUCCAGAACAACCGAAAGAAACGCUUUCAUUGGUUAAA